GCCGCGGUGGGGACGGAGACAUUGUUUCGUGGAAUUGGGGAGAAUGCGAUGAUUGUUAGUUAGUUUUAGGGGGUUCCUAAUGAUUUUGUUGGGUUAGCGGGCGGGUUAAAUGGAAUAGGGAGAUGCGAGAAGCGAACACUGUUACAAUCGCUCCCUCCAGGGUGUAAGCGGUGCCUCGUUUUUUAUACAGCUGUUGGGAAUUCAAAGAAACGCUCCUUAUGACUAACUAGGGUGGUGGAAGAAGAGAGAGCGCGGAAGGCCACUUUCGUAACAAUAAAAAAGAUGUGAGUAAAAGGGGUUCAGAGUGGUGGCUAUGGCAAUACUUUCAGUGAUUGUAGCAAUGUAGUUCCCAUAAUUUCACAUCGCUGAAAACAACAUACAAUAUAUCAAAAUCACAGGGUCA
This 403-nucleotide small RNA is filed under the name Histoplasma ohiense. RNAcentral describes it as "hypothetical lncRNA". The record is from RNAcentral. Lineage: Eukaryota; Fungi; Ascomycota; Eurotiomycetes; Onygenales; Ajellomycetaceae.